Molecule: long non-coding RNA, 1039 nt
Filed under: Olea europaea subsp. europaea
Lineage: Eukaryota; Viridiplantae; Streptophyta; Magnoliopsida; Lamiales; Oleaceae
Source: RNAcentral
CCUUAUUUCUUAUCAGAUAGAAGCUGCGUUGAGCCAUAUCAGAGCUUGUCGUUCGACGAGUUGAGCUUCAUCGUGUCAUUGUUUGUAUGUCUCAUUUUGUUAAUUCAUACCACAUAUAUUUUGGGGAGUAAUGUAUUUUGUGUCAAAAUGUAUUAAGUCUCAUACCCAUUGCAUAUUUUGUGUAUGUUUUGAAAUGAAGUGGUUUGGUGGUAAAAAAAAAGGGGGAAAUUUUCUUUUUCAGUACAACUACUUGAAGAAUUGGUAUUUUGAUGGGCCGGUGUACCCUAUUUUAAAGCAUGUGUAUAUGUUUGGGAUUUUUGAUUUUAUUUUCAGGUGGUUUUAGUCCAUUUUUCAGAGGAAACUCUGCCGAAAUUUUUAUAAAAUUAUAACAGUCAAAGCAUGUCAAGUUCGCCUUGGUGGUGGGUCCGACACUUCGCUGGUAUCUACCAUCAGCGCACGACACGUGUCGGAUCCAUUGGGGUGAUCGGGACGGGUCGUGUCAAUUGGUAUCAGAGCAUGGUUAUAAAGUCAGUUUGCAUGGUUUAUUUGAAUUUUGUUCUGAUCAUAUCAUACAUAUUUUAUAGUUGGAAGUCAUGGCUCGUGGUAAUAAGACACGCAGGCUCCAAGAUAGGUCGUCUCAACCACCAGCUGCUCCUGAUAGGGAUGCUAGUUGGGUCGAGGAAUCAGUUCAUCCGACCCAUGAUCAGCGGAGAUAUGGGGAUGUAGCCCAGCCUGAUUUAAUAGUUGAUAGGAUUGCCACCGCUGUUGCUUCUGCUCUACGCAAUACAGAUAAAGAUUAUAGUAUAGAGUGGGCUACUAAAUUAGGAGCUAAAGUAUUUACAGGCACAGCUGAUCCAGUAGAUGCAGAAUCGUGGAUGGUGAGGAUAGAAAGAAUAUUUGAUGUAAUGGAUUGCCCUGAUGAUCGAAAAUUACGACUAGCUACUUUCUUGUUAGAAAGAAGUGCUUAUGAUUGGUGGAAGUCCGUACAGGGUAAAUAUGUUGAUCCUUCUGUAAUCACGUGGGGCGAGUUUAAAGAUGA